Rhincodon typus (whale shark) is the source of this 661-nucleotide long non-coding RNA. RefSeq lists it as uncharacterized. The transcript has 2 exons. The record is from RefSeq and is a predicted model, not a curated record. Lineage: Eukaryota; Metazoa; Chordata; Chondrichthyes; Orectolobiformes; Rhincodontidae.
GGGAUCAGUGGAGAAAGAACCGCUCCAGCUUCUACAAAAAUUCUAGUACACAUCUUCAGAUCUAAUCCACAUUUCCAACUGAAAUUCAUUUUUCAUCUACCUGAAAGAGGCCCUGACACCUUCUGCACAGAAAAUAAAACACGUUCUAAUAUUUGUUGUCUUCCAUUGCAGCUUUACAAUGUUACAUUUGUCGUGGAGCUUCUUAAAGAGAGAGAACUGUUGAAGCAUCCAAUUGAUCCUGCAGAUAUUGUAAAUAUGGACAGUAAAGCCACGAUCCGAAUCUUGCAUUGCUUGUUUGCAAAGUACAAGGACAAGUGAAGGAGAGCAUAGCACUUCCUGGCAGCACGAAAGCAACCUUCAAAUGUGUUAAUUGCAGGGAGUCAAUUGAGUGAAAAACGUUAUAACACAGAGACUUAGAGAUUUGUACAUAAUUUGCUGAACAAAUUCCUAAAACAACUGCCUUUUUUAAUCUUUUCAGAACUAGGCAAAAUUAUCAAGCAGCACAUUUUUUAGGAAUGCUGAGACUUUACAAUUUUUAUACAAUUUAUAAAUAGACAACAACAAGGAGUGAAAUCAUUGUAAUAUAAAAGGUUGCAAUGACAAGGCACCUGAUUAAUACAAAGGAAUUAAAUCGAGAACAUUAAAACUUGAAUUUCACUAA